CUCAGGAUGAACGCUGGCGGCGUGCCUAAUACAUGCAAGUCGAGCGAACGGACGAGAGUGCUUGCACUCUUUGAUGUUAGCGGCGGACGGGUGAGUAACACGUGGGUAACCUACCUAUAAGACUGGGAUAACUUCGGGAAACCGGAGCUAAUACCGGAUAAUAUUUUUCUCUGCAUGGAGGAAUAGUGAAAGACGGUUUUGCUGUCACUUAUAGAUGGACCCGCGGUGUAUUAGCUAGUUGGUGAGGUAACGGCUCACCAAGGCAACGAUACAUAGCCGACCUGAGAGGGUGAUCGGCCACACUGGGACUGAGACACGGCCCAGACUCCUACGGGAGGCAGCAGUAGGGAAUCUUCCGCAAUGGACGAAAGUCUGACGGAGCAACGCCGCGUGAGUGAAGAAGGUUUUCGGAUCGUAAAACUCUGUUGUAAGGGAAGAACAAGUACGUUAGUAACUGAACGUACC
RNAcentral lists this ribosomal RNA (465 nucleotides) under Macrococcoides caseolyticum. Its description in RNAcentral is "bacterial SSU rRNA". It matches the Rfam family "Bacterial small subunit ribosomal RNA", at positions 23 to 479 of the family's 1533-position model. Lineage: Bacteria; Bacillati; Bacillota; Bacilli; Caryophanales; Staphylococcaceae. The record is from RNAcentral.